UACGGAGGGUGCAAGCGUUAUCCGGAUUUACUGGGCUUAAAGGGUGUGUAGGCGGGCUUUUAAGUCAGUUGUGAAAUCUCCGGGCUCAACCUGGAAACUGCCAUUGAUACUAUUAGUCUUGAAUUUUGUUGAGGUAGGCGGAAUAAGUCAUGUAGCGGUGAAAUGCAUAGAUAUGACGUAGAACACCAAUUGCGAAGGCAGCUUGCUAAACAAAUAUUGACGCUGAGGCACGAAAGCGUGGGGAGCAAACAGG
This 253-nucleotide ribosomal RNA is filed under the name uncultured bacterium. RNAcentral describes it as "partial 16S ribosomal RNA". It matches the Rfam family "Bacterial small subunit ribosomal RNA", at positions 524 to 776 of the family's 1533-position model. The record is from RNAcentral.